GACGAACCGUGCGAACGUUGUUCGGAAUCAUUGGGCUUAAAGGGCGCGUAGGCGGGCUUCCGAGUCCGGGGUGAAAUCCUCCAGCUCAACUGGAGAACUGCCCCGGAUACUGGAGGUCUCGAGGGGGGUAGGGGCAUGCGGAACUGUGGGUGGAGCGGUGAAAUGCGUUGAUAUCCACAGGAACUCCGGUGGCGAAGGCGGCUCACUGGACCGGUAUUGACGCUGAGGUGCGAAAGCGUGGGGAGCAAACAGG
RNAcentral lists this ribosomal RNA (253 nucleotides) under uncultured bacterium. RNAcentral's name for it is "partial 16S ribosomal RNA". It matches the Rfam family "Bacterial small subunit ribosomal RNA", at positions 524 to 776 of the family's 1533-position model. The record is from RNAcentral.